This 508-nucleotide long non-coding RNA is filed under the name Homo sapiens (human). RNAcentral's name for it is "non-protein coding lnc-AATF-3:1". Lineage: Eukaryota; Metazoa; Chordata; Mammalia; Primates; Hominidae. The record is from RNAcentral.
AGGAAGAACGCUGAAGGAAGCCUCUUGGGUGCAUUGGGAUCCCUGAACUUCUUUUUUGUCUCCCCUUCAGGAGGGACGUAGGUUUUCAUUUCUCUUUCAUAAUGGGUCUUGUCUGUCUUUGCCAUAUCUUCAAAUUUUCCCUUCUGUUUAGCAGACAUGGUCUUCCACCUCUCUGAGCACUUCUUAGAAAACUGAGAAGUUGACUGAAGCAUCUGGAUGCUUCUUAUGCUCCUCCCAACAAGUUUGCACAAAAAAUGCGUAUGACAACAUCUUGCCUCUAGGCUUCUUAGGAUCUCCUUUGCCCAUGUUUAGUUGUUUUUCCACAGCGAGGCACAGAGUCACCCAGUGCCUGUCUGGCUCUCGCUUGCCCCGGCGCUGUCUCUAUCGUAACCUCUUUAAGUUAUGUGAAAGUUACAAUGCUGCCCGCCCCACAGUGAGAGCUAAGUAAUCUCUCCUUCCCUUCUUGAGCCUCCAUGACUUUCAUGCUGUGUUUCACAGAGUCAUGGGU